Molecule: long non-coding RNA, 827 nt
Filed under: Chrysolophus pictus (golden pheasant)
Lineage: Eukaryota; Metazoa; Chordata; Aves; Galliformes; Phasianidae
Description: lncRNA (ENSCPIG00010011137.1)
Source: RNAcentral
AAAAAAAAAAAAAAGUAAUUUCAGUUGCUUUUUGUUUGCUUGCUGAACUGGAAGAAACACCAGAAGGAAAAUUACUUUUUGUUUUCCUUUUUCUCAUUCGAGGUUUGUGUCCUGGUUCUGGUAGGGCUUUGGUGGUAAAAAUUCAAGGGAUGUCAGAAAGCCAGUCAGCUUAACUGAAAGUCUAGGAAAAAAAAUAUGGUUAUGUACAUGUCUUAUUUUGUUUUUAAGCUUGGAAAGUUAGUAUUGUUCUUAACAUUUGUUUCUUCUCCUGUUCUCAGGCUAAAGCUGCAGAAGGCUGGGAAAUUGUGGGAACAGUGAGCCAGUCUGAAACUGUGGAAAAUGUUCCUGUCGUCAGCUGCUUGGAAUUUCGGUGGAAUAAACCCAUUAUUUUAGUGAUAGGUAGCGAAGGUGAUGGCCUUUCCCUGGAGACGCAGCUCCUGUGCCACCAGAUGCUGGUCAUCCCCUCUGGCAGGGCACUGCACCCAGGCAUUGAGUCGCUGAACGUCUCCGUAGCCACUGGCAUUCUCCUGCACUCCAUCUGCAGCCAAAAGCUGAGGCACGGUGAUUGAUUUUUAUCCUGGCACAUAGUGGAAGUUGCCCAGCCAAGAUCUUUGAUGGCAAGAAACUGCUCAGUGUUCCAUGACUGUGUUCAGCAUGGAUAUGGAAGUGCGCCUUCCAGGCUCGGCACUAUCUCAGCGAGUUUCAGGAUGAGCCCCACUGACCCAGGUUGUGUUCUGGCUCAUGCACCACACCAGCAGAGCCCUGGCCCAGCACUGAAGUCAUGCCUGUGUGCAGUAGUACUUAAACAUGAGGAGACCCUUCAUUAA